This 576-nucleotide ribosomal RNA is filed under the name Triticum aestivum (bread wheat). RNAcentral describes it as "partial small subunit ribosomal RNA". Lineage: Eukaryota; Viridiplantae; Streptophyta; Magnoliopsida; Poales; Poaceae. The record is from RNAcentral.
AUGCUUGAAGGUAAACCUCUAUGCUUGGCAGACAUUUCCAAUUGUGAUUUUCCAUUCGACCAUCUCCUUGACUUAGUGAUCACCCUUGCAGAAUUUUGUCAAAACUUCGAAGAAGAAACUAGCCGGCUGGAGCCAAACCUCGACCCCGUCAAUUCUCCGGUGAACGAUGAAGUUGCCAUGGAUGUUCUCCGACUGGAGUCCCGUGUUGCAGCUGUCAUGGACUAUCUCGCAAGGCUGAAGGCUGCCACAUCUCGCAUCGACUCGACGCUUUGGCCUGAGGAGACACUUCAGAAUGACCUUGAAUCGCUGAUGGCCCGGUUGAACACGAUUCCUGGUCGAGUGCAGGAAUGGAAGAAGUCCUCGGCUCGGUGUGGUGCAGAUGUUGCUCUGUGUCUUGCCCGAGUCCACUGUAAGGAUGCACGAGAAGAGAAGCUGGCGGCCCUUCGGGUGGCCAAUACCAAGAAGCACGACUUCAGGUCCUUUAUGGAAACUUUCCUUGCAGCUGCCACUCGGAUCGCCGACGGAAUUGACCUUGAUGAAUUCGUUGCUCCUUCCAGCCCUCCACAGGAGGGGUAA